AGUUGAUGCGCAUGGCAGUUUUCCUCCCAGUUCCGCUGCAUCAACUGUUCCUCUCUGGAGGUUCAUACCUUCAAACUCAUGGGUCGCGGUUUUCCGACGGCCCUUUUCU
This 109-nucleotide small RNA is filed under the name Sinorhizobium meliloti 1021. Its description in RNAcentral is "Alphaproteobacterial ar15". It matches the Rfam family "Alphaproteobacterial ar15". The record is from Rfam by way of RNAcentral. Lineage: Bacteria; Pseudomonadati; Pseudomonadota; Alphaproteobacteria; Hyphomicrobiales; Rhizobiaceae.